This 819-nucleotide ribosomal RNA is filed under the name Limosilactobacillus fermentum. Its description in RNAcentral is "bacterial SSU rRNA". It matches the Rfam family "Bacterial small subunit ribosomal RNA", at positions 52 to 823 of the family's 1533-position model. The record is from RNAcentral. Lineage: Bacteria; Bacillati; Bacillota; Bacilli; Lactobacillales; Lactobacillaceae.
UAMAUGCAAGUCGAACGCGUUGGCCCAAUUGAUUGAUGGAWGCUUGCACCUGAUUGAUUUUGGUYGMRCARCGAGUGGCGGACGGGUGAGUAACACKUWGGUAACCUGCCCAGAAGCGGGGGACAACAUUUGGAAACAGAUGCUAAUACCGCAUAACAACGUUGUUCGCAUGAACAACGCUUAAAAGAUGGCUUCUCGCUAUCACUUCUGGAUGGACCUGCGGUGCAUUAGCUUGUUGGUGGGGUAAYGGCCUACCAAGGCGAUGAUGCAUAGCCGAGUUGAGAGACUGAUCGGCCACAAUGGGACUGAGACACGGCCCAUACUCCUACGGGAGGCAGCAGUAGGGAAUCUUCCACAAUGGGCGCAAGCCUGAUGGAGCAACACCGCGUGAGUGAAGAAGGGUUUCGGCUCGUAAAGCUCUGUUGUUAAAGAAGAACACGUAUGAGAGUAACUGUUCAUACGUUGACGGUAUUUAACCAGAAAGUCACGGCUAACUACGUGCCAGCAGCCGCGGUAAUACGUAGGUGGCAAGCGUUAUGCGGAUUUAUUGGGCGUAAAGAGAGUGCAGGCGGUUUUCUAAGUCUGAUGUGAAAGCCUUCGGCUUAACCGGAGAAGUGCAUCGGAAACUGGAUAACUUGAGUGCAGAAGAGGGUAGUGGAACUCCAUGUGUAGCGGUGGAAUGCGUAGAUAUAUGGAAGAACACCAGUGGCGAAGGCGGCUACCUGGUCUGCAACUGACGCUGAGACUCGAAAGCAUGGGUAGCGAACAGGAUUAGAUACCCCUGGGUAGUCCAUGCCGUAAACGAUGAGUGCUAGGUGU